AAAAAAAAAAAAUUAAUGACAUGACCGCAAAAAUUUUGUUUUACUUUCCCAAAUUCCCUGAUCCUUGCUCUGACGACUUGAACAUUUUUCUCUCUUUCUCUGCAACCUAAGGAAGAAGAAAUGACAACAGAUGGACACUUUAUUGAAGUUGUAUUGAUGAGAAUGUCAUGCUCUUGUCACUGUUUGGUAUGAGUUUUGGUUGUGCAAUUGCAGAAAAAGCAAAUUUUAUUGCCUUUAUGUAUCACUAGUUAAUUUUGGUGGGAGAAUUGGAGAUGGUUUCUUGCUUGAUAUUAUAGGUUUGAUGGUCAUAGUUUCUUGAAUUAAGAAAUGUCAUCUGAUCAAGGUUUGGAUGUGAGAUGAUUGGGAUGAAAGUCCGAAAUUGGGCAUGCAUGUAAUGGAUCAUAUAGGUUCUAGAGAAUGUGAUCUGGAGUUUGACUUGGAAAGUGGUGAGACUGAAUCCAGCAGUGAAGAAGAUGGAAGUGAAGAGUCUGGUUCCCAUGGUAAACAUUUCAAUAAAUUAUUGAAUAGGGGAAGAAGUGGAUACUUGUGUAUUGAAGGAUCAAUAACAGCUAAUGAUGUUGUAGAAAGCAAUAAGGUAUCAAAUAUGGAUGAGACUAGGAAUGUGAUAGAAGGAGGAAUUGAGAAGAGAAUGGUGGAUAAACAGAAAAUGAAAGGCUCUGAGAAGCAUCCCAAGCCACCUAGGCCUCCUACGGGUCCAUCAUUACAUGCAGCCGAUAUAGAGUUGGUUAAAGAAAUUUCAAAGCAUACUAGGUUGCGGCGUGCAAGGAGAGAAAGACUGAAAGCAUUGAAGAAUAUGAAAACUGAUAGAAGUCAUAGAACAUCAUCAGCAAAUAUCAACUUUUUGGCAAUAAUCAUCACAGCUAUCUUCUUCUUUGUGAUAAUCUUCCAAGGAGUUUUGGGUGCUCGUGUAUGAUUCAAGUGUUCCCAUGAUUCCAUAGUUUUGGGAUGCAAGUGAACCUCUAGCCAAGCUGAUCUAUGUUUCCUAGGCUUGCAGGUAUGAAUAAGGGCAAAGUACGUGCACAGAUACGAAGCGAACUCUUUUUUUAAAAUCAUAUAUAGUACUGCUGUUAUAUUCCAUCUUCAAUGUUGGAUUACCUCCAGUAUGACAGUAUGUGCAAUGAGGCAUCCAAGCCGUUAUAUUCAGUGUUAAAUGCUGGGUUGCCUCCAGUAUGUUCUCCUCGUCCUACUCGUACACAUAUUUUUCUCUCUCUCAAAAAUAAAAAUAUUCAAUGUUGUUUUCACCAAGCCAGUAAGCAGGUUCAGCUUUUUUACUCGUAAAAGCAUUCUGCACCUGGGUUCAUAAUCUACUCUUCCAAAUCGUAGAUGAAAGACAGCCUAGAGUUUUGUUGUUUAUGCAUCCUGCUCCAUCUUGCUUGGCUCCAUAUUAACUUUUGCAUCUGUAACAUCAUUUACUUGAUGAAUUAAAAGUACUUGUGCAUAUAUCAGCAAGGUUUAUUUCUAGUCUUGAUUUGAUCGAGUGUGUUAGGCAUGACAGGGGAGAGGGAUGCAGGGGGCCAGUGCCAACUGCCAAGUAAACACACACAGCUGCUACUAACUCAUAUGUCAUAUUGUUAGACAUACACGUACCUACGUAGAAGUUUCAAUAGAAGUAUGGCAGUGGUACUCAAACCGGCAGCCCAUCUUAUGAUCUCAGUUGCUGCAAAGCCUCCCCUUCAAAUUCGGUCAUUACUGUACACGGGAUGUGACGGGGAAAUUCUAGCUGGUGCUUCGUUGCAGUGCAUUGGAUCUGACUAGUGGGAGAAAGCUUUGGCAUCUCAAUCAGGACAUGUUCAGCUAGGCGGCUGGACACUCUUUCUUUUAGAUUAUGGGGGAACACUUUUCUUAGCCUUCACUUGGGAAAUGUCUCACUGUUGCAAAACAGAGUUGUACUAGAAAAUAACAUAACCUUCUAAAAUUCCAGGCCAAAACUAAAUUUAAAGUAUGCCCAAGAGCUCAUUCACAGGAAGGAAGCAAGUAAAAACAUUGUAAAUUGCAUACUUGAUCUAUUCAUGUGAAAAGGUUCGAGCAUUGAGAGUUUGAGACUGACUGUUCUGCUAUACAGCAAGAGCUGAAUCAAGCUAGUCGUUUUAAUACCUCUUUUCUGAGCCGAAUUUAUGAAGAUAUACUCAUGGAUCUGUUGUUCAUCACCAAUACUUGAAUUGUUCAUUUCAAAAACAUACCAAUAAGACAGCUCAUAUGUUGGCGCAUCAUGCAUUUGCUACUUGCCAGGAGGAUUGCUGGUCUAGUGUCCCUACUUUCAUUCAAGAUGUAAUAGGUUCAAAACUCUGUACUACUUGAUAUUUCCUAGU
Long non-coding RNA from Rosa chinensis, 2330 nucleotides. RefSeq lists it as uncharacterized. The transcript has 7 exons. The record is from RefSeq and is a predicted model, not a curated record. NCBI's taxonomy places the organism in Eukaryota, Viridiplantae, Streptophyta, Magnoliopsida, Rosales, Rosaceae.